Molecule: ribosomal RNA, 465 nt
Filed under: uncultured bacterium
Lineage: Bacteria
Description: partial 16S ribosomal RNA
Rfam family: Bacterial small subunit ribosomal RNA
Source: RNAcentral
GACGAACGCUGGCGGCGUGCUUAACACAUGCAAAUCGAACGGAAAGGCCCUGCUUGCAGGGUACUCGAGUGGCGAACGGGUGAGUAACACGUGGGUGAUCUGCCCUGCACUUCGGGAUAAGCCUGGGAAACUGGGUCUAAUACCGGAUAGGAGCCAUUUUUAGUGUGAUGGUUGGAAAGUUUUUUCGGUGUAGGAUGAGCUCUCGGCCUAUCAGCUUGUUGGUGGGGUAAUGGCCUACCAAGGCGGCGACGGGUAGCCGGCCUGAGAGGGUGGACGGCCACAUUGGGACUGAGAUACGGCACAGACUCCUACGGGAGGCAGCAGUGGGGAAUAUUGCACAAUGGGCGCAAGCCUGAUGCAGCGACGCCGCGGGGGGGAUGACGGUCUUCGGGUUGUAAACUCAUUUCGCUAGGGACGAAGCUUUUUGUGACGGUACCUAGAUAAGAAGCACCGGCUAACUACGUG